UUUUUUAAGUUCUUCAAAGGAUUUGUAUAGUAACACUAUGCAAAUCCUUGGUAUUUCUUCAAGUUUCUUUUUUACAACAGUAAAAUGACCCCAUAUGUGCCCUUCUGAGGGAUAAUAGCAAAUACAGGUCAUAGUACGUAUGGCAGAGCUUUGACCCAGACCAAACAGCAAGCUAUAAGGGACCCUAAAAUUAUAAGUGUACACAAUUCGAACAGGAAAACCAACGAUCUAAUUUAUAUAUAUACAAAUGGGAAAAUACCAAAUAAUAUUUAUGAACAUCAACGAACGAUAUCUAACUGCUGAACGACAGGCCCCUGAAUCAAUCAGGAC
Molecule: long non-coding RNA, 330 nt
Filed under: Mytilus galloprovincialis (Mediterranean mussel)
Lineage: Eukaryota; Metazoa; Mollusca; Bivalvia; Mytilida; Mytilidae
Source: RNAcentral